Molecule: long non-coding RNA, 763 nt
Organism: Populus nigra (black poplar)
Lineage: Eukaryota; Viridiplantae; Streptophyta; Magnoliopsida; Malpighiales; Salicaceae
Exons: 3
Source: RefSeq, a predicted model, not a curated record
AGGAGAGGCUUGUUACAGGAACUGCUUUUGUGCAUGGAACUUAUGGUGCAUACAGGACAUUGGAUGAACUCUGCGGUGGUGAAAUCAUUUAUGGAGGUGGCAAUGACCAGUUGGAUCCCAAGUAUCCAUGCUAUGAGGAAGAGAGCAUUACUUGCCUAAUUGUUCGUUGGCACAAGGUAUGCGGCUGAUGAAUAACCAUCAAAUUGAGAAGGAUCAUUUUUCUUCAACUAAUAAGGCCACACAAAAUAUCUUCAAUAAUAAUAAUAAUAAUAAUAAUAAUAAUAAUAAUUGAUGAUGAGAUUAUCAAUCACUUGUUGAUCCAUCUCCAAUUUAUUUUUUUAUUUUUUUUUAAUCUUAUUUAUUAUUCUUAAGAUUAGAGAUAUGUUUCCUUUCAAUCUCAUCUAUGAUUUUUAAGAAUCUAGUACAAUGUUAUGAUCUCUACCAAUAUAUUUCAUGUUAUCCUUUUUAUGGCAAUCAAUGCAACUUUUUUCUUCUUGUUUUUUUUUUGAUGUUGUCCACCAUGGUUACUCCAAUUUUUUGUUUUGUUUUAGUAUCAUAAUUAUAUUAUAUUGACAGGGAAAAAAAAGAAAAAAAGGGAGAGAAAAGAGCAUCAUAACUGAGAUGGAACAAAACUAUAAAAUAAAAGAUGUACUGCUAAAUAUUAUUUUGACAUGAUAAAUAUUUUUCAAGAAUACACACAUAUGUAUCAUAAAUAUAACUGAUUAACAGUCUUGUACUAUUUUAAUUUUUUUAGGUCCUAUUU